Long non-coding RNA from Sphaeramia orbicularis (orbiculate cardinalfish), 512 nucleotides. RefSeq lists it as uncharacterized. The record is from RefSeq and is a predicted model, not a curated record. Lineage: Eukaryota; Metazoa; Chordata; Actinopteri; Kurtiformes; Apogonidae. The transcript is spliced from 2 exons.
AGGAGCUGGUGCAGGAUGUGACAGACCUGGAGCUCCGGGUGCAGGCUGAGGAGCCGGAGCUGUCCGCGGUGCUGAACAGAUGCUGCAGCUGCGGCGCGUCGAGGUCGCACAGGAUCAUCCCGGUGUCGGAGAUUAGAUGUCCUCACCUGUGACACGAGCCGGACAGUAACCUGAAGAGGAUUCCCAAAGAGGUUCCUCAUGAUGAAAGAUGAAGAUAUCAAUAUUUUUCAAGAAAUCAAGCACUUAAUCCAACACAGUCUGACUGAUCUGGGAACAAAAAUGCCCUCUGAAGCCUCACAACGCAGAUAAUUCACUUCAAGCACUUUGAUUGAUCUAUAGCGCAUCUUCAGCCGUUCGACUAAGAUUUACACUCACUCUCAACCUUCAAUUUGUCAUGAGAAUAACCUCCCACCAGAGCUGCUAUUGGAUGACAAAAUAACAUCUCCCACUGCUGCUGUGGACCAUGCAGAAGAUCUGGAGUUGAGGUAGUGAUCUGGUUUUUGUAUUGUUGG